Molecule: ribosomal RNA, 225 nt
Filed under: uncultured bacterium
Lineage: Bacteria
Description: partial 16S ribosomal RNA
Rfam family: Bacterial small subunit ribosomal RNA
Source: RNAcentral
GAUCCUGGCUCAGGACGAACGCUGGCGGCAUGCCUAACACAUGCAAGUCGAACGGAGAUUAUUUCGAUAAUCUUAGUGGCGAACGGGUGAGUAACGCGUGGGCAACCUACCCUCUAGAUGGGGACAACAUCCCGAAAGGGGUGCUAAUACCGAAUGUGACAGCAAUCUCGCAUGAGGAUGCUGUGAAAGAUGGCCUCUAUUUAUAAGCUAUCGCUAGAGGAUGGG